CAAGUUAAAAGGAGAUCAUUAGGAUGAAUCUUAAUCUGUUCUGAUUAGUGUCCUUGGAAUAUGAGGAAAUGUAUUUAUGUUUUAGAAUAUAUAUUUUUAUAAAAUGAACUGUGACAAAGACAUUUGUAGUGGAGAAAAGGCUGGCAAAAAUGCUCACACACUCCUGCACUCGAGGUGAAAAAUAAUUACACUUGUGGCCUUUGCAUCUGGCUCAGCUCCAGAACUUGGUAUAUUCACAUCACUGUAAAAUGAGGAAAUCCAGAUGCUUACACCUCGAGGGAAGAGCGAGGAGACGCAGGGGAAGAUAGUGAUCAAAGCCAAGGAGAAAGAUCCCUGAAGGAGCCAGUCCCGCCACGCCCUGGCCAUGGAAUUCUGCCUCCCAGACCGUGAGCAAUACUGUUUGUUGUGUAAGUCGCACAGGCUUUGGUGCUUCAGCAGCAUCACUAGGGGACUAAGACACUGUCAUGUCUUCCACCACACUGGCUACAGCCUGUGCACCUUUCCUGGAGCCAAUGGUUGAAAGGUACUACACAGCAGGGCUGGGAGCGAGCCCGGAGCCUCUCCCCAGAUGCCCAGCCACGAAGCCGACAGAGACCCACAGCUGAAGGUCUCCCCAGAGCAGCACAUGCUCACCCACAUUCUGUCACCUUGGCCAGUUCCUCCCUGGGUUUGGGAGUCCAGCCUGUGCAUUCCUUCUUCGCACAGUGUAGGUCCCUGAGGGUAAGAGGACCACACUUUCUUACUUCCAUCCUUCAGCAGGCAUUUGGUGCAGUGUGGCAGUGCGCAGACCCGGGACUGUCCUAAAGCCAACUCACACUCUCCGUGUGUCAGGCAGAAGGAAUCCUUACAGUGACCUGCUUUGAGGUUGCAAAGUGGGGGCACCAUGGCAUGAACUGACACACUUCUUCAGCUACUGGCAGAGGCUUGUUUUGUGUCUUGCCAUUUUAUCUAUCCUUGAGAAUGGUUCAUGUGCAGCUGAGAAAAUAUGUACCCUGCAGCUGUUGGAUGAGAAGUUCUACAAAUGUCUGGUAAGCAGUUUAUACUCAACAUUUCUUUGCUGAUUUUCUCUCUGGAUGAU
Long non-coding RNA from Heterocephalus glaber (naked mole-rat), 1078 nucleotides. Lineage: Eukaryota; Metazoa; Chordata; Mammalia; Rodentia; Bathyergidae. The record is from Ensembl.